CGGGUACCUUUUGUAGAAUGGUCCGGCGAGUGAAUGUAACUGGCAAGGUUAAGCACUUAAGGUGUGAAGCCGUAGCGAGAGCGAGUCUGAAAAGGGCGCAAGAAGUCAGUUGUAUUCGACCCGAAACCGGGUGACCUACCCAUGUCCAGGCUGAAGUGCAGGUAAAACUUCAUGGAGGGCCGAACCGACUCCCGUUGAAAUGGUAGCGGAUGAGGUGUGGAUAGCGGAG
Molecule: ribosomal RNA, 229 nt
Filed under: Vibrio cholerae
Lineage: Bacteria; Pseudomonadati; Pseudomonadota; Gammaproteobacteria; Vibrionales; Vibrionaceae
Description: partial 23S ribosomal RNA
Rfam family: Bacterial large subunit ribosomal RNA
Source: RNAcentral